GUUCUGUGCGGCAUUCUGGGAAAGCUCCCGGAAGGGCGGGUGGCUGGCCUCGCGUGGGCCACCCGCUGUCCAUCGUGAAAGGGGACGCGAGGCCAGGAAGCUGCGCUGUGAGCACAGGGCACGCCUCACCGAGGGCGCCGAGAGAGGUGGAGGAGGAGGCCGGGCCCGCGGGCGUCUUGGAGCUGCUGGGCCUGCACCGGCCCGCCGGACACCUCGGUGGGUGAGAAGAAUAAACCCGACGCCCUUCCUGGAUUUUCCACGAUGCCGGGGGACAUGGAGCCAGACUAUUUUGAAGAGGAAGGUGACCUGUAAAGGCCAUGUCCUCUUUCUCAAUUUAAAUGACUCCAGGACCAACUUCCAACCACCAGCCCCGUGUCUUUUUGCCUGGGGGGCUUUCUCUGGUCCCCGAAUCCCACUCUGACGCCCUGUGUGAAGAACUUACCUGUGUGGGCGCUAAUACGCCUGCCCUAGGAAAAGCAGGAGAUGAAAAUAAACAGCCAGGUCUCGGCAUUCUGGUGGACAGCUCUGUGACACGUGUGCUUCACGCCGCCUCCUGGUUUCCAUGUGGUCACUCUCAAGUCGCCCGCAGUGGUAACUGAGUUGAUGACCUUUACUGGAUGUCUUCCGCUCCCCAUCUCACCUCCCCACUGCCCUCAAGUGUCUCCUCCUCCUCCCAACUUAAUCGCAGGUGUUGAGUCUGUCAGUUCUGCCACCAGGGACCUGAAAAGGAAGACGAUAGCUGAGAAGGAGAGAAGGGCACUGGGGCAUUCUGGGGUGUCGUCCCACGGGGGCAUUCAUUUAUUGGGAGCUCUUUGAGCUGUACACUUAUAGUGUGUGUACUUUCCUCUAGGUAUGUUUUACAUUGUACCAUAAUAAAAAGUUGGUGUAUAUAAAGAAUAGGGCACAUUUUACCGAGAUACCAGAAUAUGCUGGAGGGAUGGGAGUGGCAGGAAUCACACUGGACACAACACACAGAGUACACAUACAAAGAAGUUAAUUUUGUCAAAUGAUGUGUGAAUGAGUGAACUAGAAAAUACAUAUAUUGUUGGGUAAAUGAAUGAACCAGAGGAUAAUAAAGAAAUGCGUGAAUGAGGCAAUGACAGGAUGAGCACAUUUGAGAAUGAGCGAGUGAAGGAACCAGUGAAAGAAGUUGUCCCCGGUGACGAGUGAGGAGCUAAGUGCCCACAUGGACAAUGGAGGGAGGAGUGAAUGGAUGAAAGGACCACAAUUCCAGGAAGUAGGAGCGAAUGGACCGAGGAGUGAGGCCUGGAAUAAACUUGACACGUGAAUGAAUAUGUGAAGGCAUGGAUGAAAGAAAGAAUAAAUGAAGGAAAAUACUGAAGACAUGAAUGAACGAAUGAGUAGAUAUAAAAGUGUAAGGAGCAAUGAGCAAAUGAACAAUUAUAUAAAUGCGGAAGUGGAUAUAUGGUUCCAUGUGUUCUCGCUGGAUCUUAGGGGGAGUAAUUUGCAGAGCAGAAAAUGCCCAACUCAGAGGCAAGUGUCUCCCCUCACAUCCCCGGGGCCAAGGUCUUGGCAAAUCACCACGGCCCGCCCAGAGCAGGUUCCUGAGGUGAUUCAGUUUGGAUUUAAUAAGAACAUUGUUAAGCAAAUAUCAAGGAUGCCACGGAGUGGCCACUCCCUUGGAUCGAUUCUGGGUUCAGUGGAAAGAACUAAAUAAUAACUGACUACAAUUAUGCACCACAUAACCAUGCUCAGUCAACCACAGACGGCGUAUACGACAGUGGCCCCACGAGGUUAGUGCCACACAGCCCAGGUGUGCAGGAGGCUCUAGGGUCUAGGUUUGUGUAAGUACACUCUAUGAUGUUCCCACAGCGACGAAAUCACCUAGUGACACAUUUCUCAGAACAAGUAUCCAUCGUUCAGCGAUGCAUGACUGUAUAUCGUUUUCACGAUUAGGUCGCAGAUAAUUACCUAUUAUGUAGCCAACUCCCAGCAAGAUUUUAAUAUUCAAUAUUUAAAUAACACAUUUUCACUGUCUCCUUCAAAUUAGCCUCCGGGAAGUGUAAUUAAUGUCAGCUGGGAAGGUUGGCUGUGUGGCCUGGGAAUGAGGAAGGGGGUCGGCGCUGUCGCUGUGAUCGUCCUAUGAGACCCCGAGGCCGGGUGGUGCUGUGCACAGAGCUCAGGUUUGGGAAAACCUCGGUCCAGGACGUCGGGCAGGUCAGUCCCCAUCUGGGCCUCCAUCACCUCCUCUAUGAAAUGAAGAUGAUUCUCCUAAUUCCCCGACUCCCAGGGUUAUCGGGGCGCUCAGUGUAGACCCAGGUCAGGGUCAGGGUCAGUCCACCAGUCCCCCGCUGUGCCCCACAGUGCAGGCACAUCCCUCAUCCCGGGGUAAGCAGGUCUUCUCUUGAUGCAUAUUUCUGCCCCACAGACUGAGGGCCGGGACCGAUCUUGUCCUCAGCGCGUGUUCAGCACCCAGGGCAGUGUCUGCACACAGUAGGCACUCGGUGAACGUUGGUGGAGGAAACGAAGGGAUCUCGUGUAGUGUGGGUUUUAGAAGCUGCCUAAGGUCCCUUUCAGAACAACGAGGUUUGAUAGGCAGAUGGCCACUUACCAGGGUCCUCAUGGAGCUUGUCAGGGUUGCCCACCUCUGAUGCUCUUCCAGCUGUCACUUGUUCCCUUAAGUCCAUCGGUGUCUGCCUGUCUCGGCCCCUCCCCCUUCCUGUGCGCCACCGCCAAUAUCUGGGGGCCUGAAAAGAAUGCAGACAAGCUGGUCGGAUUGUGCGUGAAGGAAGCAUCCACGGGCUCUGAUGAGGGGCCCAGGGGCUCUGCUCUGAGUGACAGUGCCCGCGGGAAUGACGUGUCCCCGGGUCUCCACAUGGACCUGACCUGGCUCAGCCUUGAUGAGAGAUCAGCACAUGGGUCUGAUGCCCACAGGGACAAGAGGGGCAGAGACCUCCUGAGUCCUGUGAGUGCCUGGAGGAGGCGGUGAGGGAGAUGCCGGGUCCCUGACAAAGGACUCUAUGCUGCCCCUGCCAUCUGUCGUGUAGAUUGAAUACCUGUGAUUCUGGAAUUUCUUCCUCUUCCAGGAGUCUGCUUUCCUAAAUAGUCCAGCUUCACUCAAACUGUCUUCCCUUCUCUGAGGCACUGGGAACCACACCUGAUGAGGUCCCACCUUUGAGUGUGAAGGACAGUCCAUGGUCCCCUUGUCUGUGUCAGACCCUCCUGACUGUCUGGGUGAUGGCCAACCCCCUCCCCCUGUCAGCCCCGAGAGGAUUGGCCGUGGUGGGGGCAGGAGAGGAGAGAGUAUCAUCCUAAGGGGCCUGCAGUGCAGGGAGAGGAGCGGACUCUGGCCAUGAGGAGCCACGAGCUGGUGCAGGGAGCACAGCAGCCGGGUCUGCACAGCCCAGCUCGGCACGCCCUCGUGUAGGGGUCAGGAGCCCCGAGGGGACCCCUGGUGGGCCCAGGGAAUCACGUGGCCACCAGUUACCUUGAGCUCUAUCACAUACAGGACCCUCCACCAGUUCAGGACCUGCCUGUCCCCAUCUCAGCCAAUGGUGCUGGGCAGAGACCAGGUGACUGUCCCGGCCAGUCACCUACAUGGGCUCUGCCCCCCGCAGCGGGCCCAGCCUCACAGGGCAGCCCAGCAGGUACCCUGGGAACCAGAUCCAAGAUCCCUGCUCACCUUCCCAAGAUGGCCAAGGCCAUCUCCAGGCCACCUCUGGUGGGGACGCCACAGACAGCCAGGCCCCUCUUAUAUUUGCUACAUUCUUCAAGUGUCCUUGAUCAUCGCACAUUGCCCUUAGAGACAGAGGAAGAAAUUAUAAAAAUUAAAGAAGAAAUAGGCAGCAGUGGCUCCUAGGAAAUGAAAUCGUUUCCUUCUACACAGUUAAACACGAGCGUUUGAAAUGUCCUUGUCACACCUUGCACUGGCUCUGUCAGGGUGGAUUAUUGGAUUAUAAAAGGACUGGAGGUUUCUGGGCAUUCAAGGAGCAAAGAACCAGCUUCCGAGUCAGACAGACCUGGACCGUCUCAGCUCAGCCACGUCCUUGUGUGGGUGUCGCUUCAGCUUCCAGACCCUCAUCUGCUCACUUUUAAAGUGGGAGGUGACCCUCUCUCACAGGUAAAAGUGAAAGAAUGGGGGUGAGACAGCUCCGCACCUGGGACACUGCAAACAUCCAAAAUGAGGUUGCUGCCGUAUCAUCUAGGUGAGGAGUGAUGACAGAACAGUGGGUGUCUUAGGAGACACUUCCUGCCCCUUCGUCCCUCUGGAAAUUUCCUUGCUGGGCCGCUUGAGCCUCUUUGAUCAUCUCUUGUUCUUCUGAUAAAAUAAAGCUUGACUGCAGAAAGCUUUGUCAUCAAAGCUUCGUCGUCACUGUCACGUCCACAGACUCCACCUCUUACACGAGCUGCCCGGGAGCAAAGAGGCGAACGGCAGCCGCUCCCCCUGCCUGCGUCGCCGUGCACUGAGGACGGGAUGGGGAGUCUCACCGAGUCCCCAGGUCAACUGCAGGGGUCGCCAUCCUCCCACUGUGCAGGUGAGAAGCCUGAGGCUCAGAGCAGUGACGUCACAUCCACAACACAACAACAGAUGUUACUGCACCUGCCGUGAGACCCAGCGGGGAACAAGUCCCCGCGCCCGUGGGGCUGGCACAGAGGAUAAGGGAUGAAGACGUGACACUUGUGAAGGAGAAAAACAGAGCUGGCAGUCAGGUGGCCCCUUUGUCCCCACGGAAGGCUUGCCUGUGUCCUGCCGCCACAAGGCUUCUCAGAGCUGCUUUCUGCUGGGGAGGCCCUGGGCGUGGGAAGGGUGCCAGGGUUCACGUGCUUCGUCUCUGCCCAGCCUCACGACCGCCCUGUGUGCCCACAAUGCACAGACGAAGAAACUGAGGCUCAGAGAGGUGACAUCACCUGCUCAAAGUCAUGGAGUCAGUAAGUGGUCAGGGUGGCUUCAGGGUCAGAGGACUCGAGUUUGUGUCCAGGCUCGGCCAUUCAAGGGCUGUGUGACCUCAGCAAGCCUCUCACCGCUAAGCCUGUUUCCUCAUCAGCAACAUGACGAUGACAGCAGGACCUGCGUCAUGGGGCUGUUGUGAUGGGAAAUGAGCUGGUGCUCGGGAUGCAGAGGACAGUGCCUGGCACAGAGCGACGGUGAUGAUGAUGAUGAUAGUGACGCCCUCUCCGAUGGUGCUGACUCCGUUUACCCUUCAGGGCGGCCCUCAAAUGGAACGUGGUGUGACCUUUAACGAAGCCAGCUGGCGUCUCCAGCGGGCAGAUAAGAAAACUGAGACUCAAAGGCGGGGAGUCGUUCGCUAAAGCCACAAGAUGCUGAAAGCAGAGCCGAUUCUUUCAUCUUAUUGUGCUUUCCAUCCAUCCUGGUUUUCCCCUUUGCUUCUUUCUUCACUUUCCUUUUGACUCAUUUUCUUCUGUCCAUUACAUUGAUCAAAUAUUCUUCAUUACCUUUCUGCUUCCGUUGGUUUCAAAAGUCUGCAUCCCAUUUCUGUCCGUUUAUUAGUUACCUUAAAAAUGGAGGAAGUGUGCUUAUUUGGACUAACACAGCUUAAAGCUCGUCAGCCUCUCUGCCCUCCCUGUGAAUGGCACCAGGACUCCAAACGCCUUGACUCCAGUCUCCCAUCUUCAUGUCGGCUUCAGCUAGUGUUACGAUUCUGUCUCCUUUUUCCACCUCUCCCAACUUAGUUCUCACUAUUACUGUUGUUGGUUUCCCUCUUGUUUCUUGUAGACAACGAGUAGAUUUACCCCAUGUUCAUGGAUAAUUCUGCAUGCUUUUCCUACUUUCAUGCUAUUCCUUCCUUG
Molecule: long non-coding RNA, 5769 nt
Organism: Equus caballus (horse)
Lineage: Eukaryota; Metazoa; Chordata; Mammalia; Perissodactyla; Equidae
Source: Ensembl